UACGAAGGGGGCUAGCGUUGCUCGGAAUCACUGGGCGUAAAGCGCACGUAGGCGGAUUUUUAAGUCAGGGGUGAAAUCCUGGAGCUCAACUCCAGAACUGCCUUUGAUACUGGGAAUCUCGAGUCCGGGAGAGGUGAGUGGAACUCCGAGUGUAGAGGUGAAAUUCGUAGAUAUUCGGAAGAACACCAGUGGCGAAGGCGGCUCACUGGUCCGGUACUGACGCUGAGGUGCGAAAGCGUGGGGAGCAAACAGG
RNAcentral lists this ribosomal RNA (253 nucleotides) under uncultured bacterium. RNAcentral's name for it is "partial 16S ribosomal RNA". It matches the Rfam family "Bacterial small subunit ribosomal RNA", at positions 524 to 776 of the family's 1533-position model. The record is from RNAcentral.